CAAGUAAAGGGACAUCUGGUUAGUGGAAGGCUUUUAAAAAUGAGAUACUGAGAAAUCAGGGGCAGCAUUAGGGAAGCCUCAUUAAUGAAUGAUGUUGAAGAAUUUGUCACUAAAAAGGAGGCAUGGGUCUGGUAUAGGGAGCUGGGAUCAAGAAUCCCCUGAGGAGUACAAGGCAUGAAGGAGUACACUUAAGAGAGCAAAAUGAGGAUGAGAGAUAGCCUUAGCAGAUAAAAAGGUGAAUCCUAAGAGAUUCUACAAGUACAUUAAGACCCAAGGCAACUAGGGAGAAAAUCAGGACCCUUAAACGUCCAUUUGUGGAGCAACAAGAGAUGGGCUUGGUUUUAAAUGCGUAUUUUUCACCAGUAUUUACUGUGGAGGUUAUGGUAGCUAAAGGAAGCCAAUGGUGAUAUCUUGAAGCAUAUCUACAUCACAUAUGGGUGGAUAAAUCCCUGGCCAAAUGGAGACAAAAUUGAUUUGUUUGCAGCAGUUAGUUGGUAGUGGGGAGUUGCUUUACAGAUUGGAGGUCUAUGAUUACUGAUGUGCCAUAGGGAACAAGGUGGAUCAACUAUUGUUUGUCAUCUGACAUCAUUGUAACAAUUUGAGAAUUAAGUUGGCAUUGUUUUUGUGGAUGACAACAAAAUUGGUGGUAGAGUGGAUAGUGAAGAAGUUUAUUAUCACAGCGGGAUCUAGAACAAAUUGGAAAAUGUGUCAAGAAAUGGAAUUUAAUUAAGCCAAAUGUAGUCUGUUGCAUUUUGGUAAGUUAAACCAGGACAAGACUUGAACUGAAAGAUGUCUUUAAAAAGGAAAGGACAAUUCACAAGGAUUUCACUGACACCGGAAGGCUUGACAGGAUAGGCUGGAACCUGUUCUUCCUUGUAUUUAGUUAUCAAAAUGUUAAAAAUAUAACUUCAUAUCAUGGCAUGAAUUGCCUUAGUUAUGGGUUCAACAUCUUGCUGAACGAUCCUGUCAAUAGGAUAUCUUUAUUCAUUUUAUAUUAUUUCAAAAGUUGUCCCUGAGUGGUAAUUAUCUUCACAAAUUUUAUAAUAUAGUAUUGCAAAUUCUGUGUGUAUAAUUGUAAAUAUUGCUUGAUAAUGAAAAUCAUUGCUGCUGUCAUUGUUGAAAAGAACAGCAAUUUGAUCAUUGUGAUUUGUAUUUAUACAAUUUGAGGUGUGGGCACAUUAAUUCCUAGACUAAAUUUUAAGUGAGUUGAUUUCUUGAGUAAAUGAUAUUUCCUUUACUGUGGAGUUUGCUAAAGUGUUUGGCCAUUCUUUAAUGAAUAACUUUGUCAGAAAACAAAUUAUUUUGAAACUAGCAUGAGCAUUGAUUUAAAAGAGACACAAGGGCUAACUAUUUCCACACAGAAGAUGAUGCGCACAAGGACUGAACUGCCAGAAAAAGUUGUAGAGGCAGGUAAAAUGAUGACGUUAAGAAGUAUGUGGUAACCUGGUCAGUAUGGAUGAGUUAAGCUGAAAGGCCUUUAUUUGUGCUGUAUAGGUCUAUAUCUGGGUUUGGGGUGCUUCUGUCUGAUGCCUAUAAAAUACAUAGUUGUCAUAUAUUGCAAUAGUUCACGAAUUAAAUUCAUUGCGACAGAGAUAUCUUGAAAAUAAACAAAAAAAACCUGAACAGUUAUCAGCCUUAAAUCACGUUAGAACAUGGAAAAAUGAAUGAAUGGACACAGCACUAUUUUGUAAAGCCAUUCGGAUUUCAGCUAUUUUUAUUAUUAUACUGAUUUAAGAUACUGCAACUAAAACAGCAAACUGAAUUAUUUAAGAGUACCCUUGAUU
Molecule: long non-coding RNA, 1784 nt
Organism: Amblyraja radiata (thorny skate)
Lineage: Eukaryota; Metazoa; Chordata; Chondrichthyes; Rajiformes; Rajidae
Exons: 2
Source: RefSeq, a predicted model, not a curated record